GGUUUGAUGGUGUAACUGGUUAUUGCAUCUCUGUACAUUAGUUUGAGAAGCUCCCCGGUUCGAGCCCGGGUCAAAUCA
Non-coding RNA from Gymnopus androsaceus JB14, 78 nucleotides. NCBI's taxonomy places the organism in Eukaryota, Fungi, Basidiomycota, Agaricomycetes, Agaricales, Omphalotaceae. The record is from the annotation of a GenBank genome assembly.